UGCCUGUGACAGUGAUGGGUGAGCGAUGUCUCCCGUCCUCAUCUCGGCCACGAGUGUUUUGUUUCUCUCCUCUCUCCUGCCCAGCUGAGGAGGGCAGUGCCAGAGCAGCUUUGGUGGGCACCUGCUGUCCAGCCAGGGGCAGCCCAGCACAGCUUCCGAGGUUCAUCCCGAGGCGCAGAGCCCGGGAACCACCCGGAGGCCCCUGUGCUGACGGGGGCAAAACCCACGGCGAGAGUUCCCCACGGCCCGGGGCCCGCGGCCGGGCUGGGCGCCUCCGAGAGGGGAGGCCCCCGCCUCGCUGACGGCUGCUGGGGAGGUGCCCCGAGGCCACCGCGCCCGCCCUGUCCCGCCCUGCCCUGUCCUGUCCCGGGCCGCCCUCCCCAGCGCUCGGGUGCGUCGCGGGGCUCCUGGCGGGCGGGCGGGCCGGACUCCAUUUCCCGUGGGCAGCGCGGGGCGGUGCAGCCGCAGUUCCGCCCGGCGCUGGUCCGGCGUUGGGAGCGGGCGGGCUCGGGUGGCCGGGGCCAUGAGGCGGCGGGGCGCGGGGCAGCGGGAGGUGCCGUGUGUGUUCGUGAGCGAGGGGAAGGAGGAGCCGUGGGCCCAGCGGGAGCGCCAGGUGGCCGAGGCGGAACGGGGCCGGGGCCGGGGCCGGGGCCGGGCCCAGGGGGAGCCGCUGGGCCGCGGGGAGCGGCGCCGCACGGCGGGGCGGAGCGGGGCGGGCAGGCAGCGGCACCGGCCGUGUCAGACCCGCCCGGGCUGUCCCGGAGUGUCUGCGCCUUCAGUGCGGGAGAGAAAGAUCGUUCGGGAGCCAUUUCAGCUCAGACUGGCCUGAGUUGGAAGGACCCACAAGGGUCAUUAGUCCAACUGCUGUCCCCGCACAGGACACCCCACAGGUCACCCGUGUGUCUGAGGGCGUUGUCCAGUCUCUUGUUGAACACUGUCAGGUUGGGGCCGUGACACCUCCCUGGGGAGCCUGUUCAGUGUCCAGCACCUCUGGGGGAAGAACCUUUUCCUCACGUCCAGCCUAAACCUCUCCUGGCACAUCUUCUGCCAUUCCCUGGGUUCUGUCACUGGUUGCCAGAGAGAUCAGCGCCUGCCCUUCCUCCUCCCCUUGUGAGGAAGCUGUAGACGUGAUGAGGUCUCCUCUUAGUCUUCUCUUCUCCAGGCUGAACAAACCAAGUGACUUUAACUGCUCCUCAGAUGGCUUCUUCUCCAAACCCUUCACCAGCCUCUUCUGGACACCCUCCAAUAGCUUUAGAUCCUUUUUAUGCUGUGGCGCCCAGAACUGCCCCCAGAAACCCCAGAUCCCUCUGCAGAGCUGCUCUCCAGCACCUCGUGCCCCAGUCUGUAUGUACAGCCAGGACUGCUGGCACUGAGAUGGAUGCUUGUGGAACCCACUCGUGACUGGUGUCCAACGCAACGUGGCCCCAUUGACUAGAACGCUUUGAGCCCGGCCCGCCAGCCAAUUGCUCACCCACUGCACUGUGUGUUUAUCCGGCUGUGUGCUGGACAUCUUGUCCAGGAGAAUGCUGCGAGAGACACUAUCAAAGCUUUACCAACAUCCAGAAACGAUUUAUUUAUUCACGGUCUUCUUGGCUCUGUUGUCAAAACAGAUAUACAGAAAUUUUUCUACGUUACUGACUAGAAUAAAUCCAGAUGCUCUUUCAGCAACAUGUUCAGAAACAGGCUGCCUGCUCUGUGGGCAUCGCGGAGCACGGGCCAAAUGCUGCCGCCGAGAGCCCUCCCCCUUAGGCAGGACGGCUGCCGGAGGGAAUCUCCCGGGACCGGGAUUCCCUCAUCUCCCCGUGUGGGUGAGUGAAAUAAUUCCUCGCAGGAUCGCGGGUCUCUGCUUAUUUUUCCUCACUUAGACAAAGUGAGUGUGUUCUGUGCUUAAAUAUAAGCACAUGUGUUUUCUUUAGCAAUUCCUUGCCAGAUUCAGGCAAGUGUGUACUUUUCCCGGAGUCAGGGAGGGCUCUGGCGUUGUAUUUGGUGAGCCACGUGUGUGCACACUGUGGAUCCCCAUUGUUAUUAUUUGCUGCACCCCAAUAAUUUCCUCAACUGAUACUCAAACCUGCAUUCAUGUUCUUGGAGAGCUAAAACCCCGUUCUUUACCGGUUAAUCUGCUGCACCUUUUUGACCAGAAUAAAAGUUUGUUUUGGA
Long non-coding RNA from Columba livia (rock pigeon), 2157 nucleotides. RefSeq lists it as uncharacterized. Lineage: Eukaryota; Metazoa; Chordata; Aves; Columbiformes; Columbidae. The record is from RefSeq and is a predicted model, not a curated record. The transcript is spliced from 2 exons.